This 253-nucleotide ribosomal RNA is filed under the name uncultured bacterium. RNAcentral's name for it is "partial 16S ribosomal RNA". It matches the Rfam family "Bacterial small subunit ribosomal RNA", at positions 524 to 776 of the family's 1533-position model. The record is from RNAcentral.
CACGGGGGGAGCAAGCGUUGUUCGGAAUCACUGGGCGUAAAGGGAGUCUAGGCUGUCAGGUAAGUGAGAUGUGAAAUCCCUCGGCUUACCCGAGGACCUGCAUUUCAUACUGCUUGGCUUGAGUACGGGAGAGGAUGUGGGAAUUCCUGGUGUAGCGGUGAAAUGCGUAGAUAUCAGGAGGAACACCGGUGGCGAAGGCGCACAUCUGGCCCGAUACUGACGCUGAAGCUCGAAAGCUAGGGGAGCAAACGGG